UAGUAAUCGCGCAUCAGCCACGGCGCGGUGAAUACGUUCCCGGGCCUUGUACACACCGCCCGUCAAGCCAUGGGAGCCGGGAGUGCCUGAAGUACGUGACCGCAAGGAGCGUCCUAGGGUAAGACCGGUGACUGGGGCUAAGUCGUAACAAGGUAUC
RNAcentral lists this ribosomal RNA (157 nucleotides) under uncultured bacterium. RNAcentral's name for it is "partial 16S ribosomal RNA". It matches the Rfam family "Bacterial small subunit ribosomal RNA", at positions 1336 to 1500 of the family's 1533-position model. The record is from RNAcentral.